Molecule: ribosomal RNA, 229 nt
Filed under: uncultured bacterium
Lineage: Bacteria
Description: partial 16S ribosomal RNA
Rfam family: Bacterial small subunit ribosomal RNA
Source: RNAcentral
UGCGUAGGCGGAAAAUUAAGUCAGUGGUGAAAUCCUGCGGCUCAACCGUAGAACUGCCAUUGAUACUGAUAUUCUUGAAUGUAGUUGAGGUAGGCGGAAUGUGUAAUGUAGCGGUGAAAUGCUUAGAUAUUACACAGAACACCGAUUGCGAAGGCAGCUUACUAAACUAUGAUUGACGCUGAUGCACGAAAGCGUGGGGAGCAAACAGGAUUAGAUACCCUGGUAGUCC